ACGGAAGGCAGCAGUGGGGAAUAUUGCACAAUGGGCGCAGGCCUGAUGCAGCAACGCCGCGUGAGGGAAGACGGUUUUCGGAUUGUAAACCUCUGUUCUUAGUGACGAAGAAGUGACGGUAGCUAAGGAGCAAGCCACGGCUAACUACGUGCCAGCAGCCGCGGUACUACGUAGGUGGCAAGCGUUAUCCGGAAUUACUGGGUGUAAAGGGAGCGCAGGCGGGAUAGCAAGUCAGCGGUGAAAUGUAUGGGCUUAACCCAUGAACGGCCGUUGAAACUGUUAUUCUUGAGUGGAGUAGAGGCAGGCGGAAGUCCGAGUGUAGCGGUGAAAUGCGUAGAUAUUCGGAGGAACACCAGUGGCGAAGGCGGCCUGCUGGGCUCUAACUGACGCUGAGGCUCGAAAGUGUGGGGAGCAAACAGGAUUAGAUACCCUGGUA
RNAcentral lists this ribosomal RNA (436 nucleotides) under uncultured Clostridium sp. RNAcentral's name for it is "partial 16S ribosomal RNA". It matches the Rfam family "Bacterial small subunit ribosomal RNA", at positions 341 to 792 of the family's 1533-position model. Lineage: Bacteria; Bacillati; Bacillota; Clostridia; Eubacteriales; Clostridiaceae. The record is from RNAcentral.